AAACCAUACAUCGGGCAUUUUCUAAUUAAUGCCUUGAAACAUUCCUAAGCUUCAUAUAAUGUCUCACCUUCAAAUUGCCUCAACGAUGUAAUGUCAUUCCUCAGCUU
This 107-nucleotide small nucleolar RNA is filed under the name Gossypium hirsutum (cotton). Its description in RNAcentral is "Plant small nucleolar RNA R71". It matches the Rfam family "Plant small nucleolar RNA R71". Rfam says of the family: R71 is a member of the C/D box family of snoRNAs containing the C (UGAUGA) and D (CUGA) box motifs. Lineage: Eukaryota; Viridiplantae; Streptophyta; Magnoliopsida; Malvales; Malvaceae. The record is from Rfam by way of RNAcentral.